RNAcentral lists this long non-coding RNA (1347 nucleotides) under Glycine max (soybean). Its description in RNAcentral is "long non-coding RNA (GMAX_LNC004223)". Lineage: Eukaryota; Viridiplantae; Streptophyta; Magnoliopsida; Fabales; Fabaceae. The record is from RNAcentral.
GAUUUCAUAGGUCCAGUGUUGGACCUCAUAAUUCGCAUGUGGGACUCUUUGCCUGCAUCCUCGAGUUUGAAGAGAACCUUUCUUGUUUGAGAGACAUAACAUCUGACCUGCAAGGCGUUUGGGUUGAUGUGAGUGUGGGGUUGAAGUGGCUGAGGCACAUCACCCUGGGCGUCUGAAUGAAGUGAAUGAUUGGUUGGAUAAAGUUGAAGCCAUGCAAACUGCAAAGGGAAGUCCAAGCUAUUCAGCAAAAAGUUUCUCAAGUUCAAGAAACACAUAGAUGUUUGGGAAGUUUCUGUCCCGGGAAUUUUCCAACUAGCUGCUGGAUGGGAAGGGUUAUAGCUAUAAAAAAUUGGUGAGAUUCAUGAACUAAUUGAUAAAGGGCAUUUUGAUGUAGUGGCUCAGGAAGUGCCACAUGCUUUGGUAGAUGAAAUACCUCUAGAGGCCACAGUAGGUCUAGAAUCAACCUUUGAUGAACUUAGUGGAUGUUUUGAUGACAAUCAUGUUGGAGUUAUUGGCUUGUAUGGGAUAGGGGGUGUAGGAAAGACAACCCAGCUCAAAAAGUUCAAUAAUGAGUUCCUUCCCACAAAAUUCUAUGAUGUUAGCAUUUGGGCUGUGGUGUCUAGAAAAGCACGUAAUCAAGGAUGUCUACGAAGGUCUUUUAGCUGAAUUUGGUGAUGAUGUCUACGAAGCACGUAAUCAAGGAGAAGAAAUCAUAGCAAGCUUGAAGCUUACUUGUUUGUUGGAGGACAGAGAGAGAGAAAACAGGAUUAAGAUGCAUGAUAUGAUCAGAGACAUGGCUUUGUGGCUAGCAUGUGAUCAUGGAUCCAACACCAGGUUUUUGGUGAAAGAUGAUGCAUGCAGCAGUUCAGUUGAAGCAUAUAAUCCUGCAUAGUGGAAAGAAGUAUAGAUAGUAUCACUCUGGGGACCUAGCAUUCAAAUCCUCUCAGGAAAAUCAGAUUGCUCAAAUCUCUCGACUAUGAUUGUCAGAAAUUCUGAGCUAACAGACCUUUCUGAUGAGAUCUUUCUGACUGCAAACACUCUUGGAGUGUUAGACUUGUCAGGGAAUAAAAGAGUAAAAGAAUUACAUGCGAUUAUUGGGGAGUUAGUUAGCUUGCAGCAUUUGGAUCUAUCAGGUACUGGUAUACAAGAAUUGCCAAGGGAGCUCCAGAACUUGAAAAAGUUGAGGUGCCUGCUACUAAAUUGAAUUGCCAAGGCAUGCUCAACUUGAAUUGGCUAACGCAUGCUCCAAGCCUUCAGCUCCUUAGAAUAUAAUUGUCCCUCAUUGGAAGAAGUCAUAGGUGAAGAAUUUGGACAUGCAGAAAAUGUUUUUUCCAAAACCCUAAGGCA